AAAUUUUUUUAAUCCCAAAUCUUUAUUUCACUCUUCUUCUCAUAUGUAUUUCUUCCGCUCACUUUCUCCAAAUCCCACUUCUACUCUUCGACUAAUUACUACAGAUCCAAAAGCUCACUGAACUUGACAUGAACAAUGACGUAUAGGAGAACGAUGCUUGAUAUUGGGCUCUGCUAAAUGAUAUACGGGUCGUGUGGACGGUCAAUUCAGAACGGGAGGUUGAAUAGUCCAGAAUAAUGCUAUCACGAAGGAGGGUCAAGAAUCUCAAGAUAUAUACAACUAAUCGAUUGAAUUCUUCGACAGCAGAUACAAUGUCCUUCAAUUAUGGGCUUGUGCCACAUAUAUCUACACCUGAUACAAGUUCGAGGUAACAUUGUCAAGGUUUAGAAGAAGCAAGAGGAAAUGUUGGAUAUGAAGCAUGAGCUUGCUUCUCACAAAAUUAAAGCUAUGUGGUCUGACCUUGGUAGGUUCUUCCUUAAGGUACCAAUGUUUAUGGGUUUGAUACUUUUACUUGAAUUUGGAUUAUCUUGGUUCAUUGUUAGUGAGUGGCGUUAUUACAUUAUAUUUCUUAGCAGAGAACAAGUGUAUAAUUUUUGUUGAAUUUCAUAGUUGUAGCUGCCAGUGAGUUUGUCUCCUCUUUUCAUUUCACAAACUCUAGAAAAACCUGACCUUGCUCCAGCUGCUUGGGCGUGACUCAGCAUUUUGAAUGAUACGGCCGCAAGCAUGUGCUUCUCCCGCUUGGUCCAAGGGUCGGCACUGCGUCAGCUACACUUGAUCUGUAUUGCAAGAUUUUUUUUAUUUUCUUUCAGUUUGAACUUUUGUUAUCCAUGUGUUUAACUUUUCAGGUUAAAUUUUGUUAGGUAACUAGAUUGUGGGCUUGUAUGAUGCUUAAGGUUUCUAAUAUAAGGAUUUGAGAUUU
This is a long non-coding RNA of Brassica oleracea var. oleracea, 919 nucleotides long. RefSeq lists it as uncharacterized. The transcript is spliced from 4 exons. The record is from RefSeq and is a predicted model, not a curated record. Lineage: Eukaryota; Viridiplantae; Streptophyta; Magnoliopsida; Brassicales; Brassicaceae.